UACGGAGGGGGCCAGCGUUGUUCGGAAUCAUUGGGCGUAAAGGGCGCGUAGGCGGCCAUGCAAGUCGAGUGUGAAAGCCCCGGGCUUAACUUGGGAAUUGCGCUCGAAACUACGUGGCUGGAGUGUGGCAGAGGAAGGUGGAAUUCCACGUGUAGCGGUGAAAUGCGUAGAGAUGUGGAGGAACACCAAUGGCGAAGGCAGCCUUCUGGGCCAACACUGACGCUCAUGCACGAAAGCGUGGGGAGCAAACAGG
Molecule: ribosomal RNA, 253 nt
Filed under: uncultured bacterium
Lineage: Bacteria
Description: partial 16S ribosomal RNA
Rfam family: Bacterial small subunit ribosomal RNA
Source: RNAcentral